This 461-nucleotide ribosomal RNA is filed under the name uncultured bacterium. RNAcentral's name for it is "partial 16S ribosomal RNA". It matches the Rfam family "Bacterial small subunit ribosomal RNA", at positions 338 to 795 of the family's 1533-position model. The record is from RNAcentral.
CCUACGGGUGGGCUGCAGUGAGGAAUAUUGGUCAAUGGGCGCGAGCCUGAACCAGCCAAGUCGCGUGAGGGAAGACGGUCCUAUGGAUUGUAAACCUCUUUUGUCGGGGAGCAAAAGACGCCACGCGUGGCGUUCCGAGAGUACCCGAAGAAAAAGCAUCGGCUAACUCCGUGCCAGCAGCCGCGGUAAUCCGUAGGUGGCAAGCGUUAUCCGGAUUUAUUGGGUGUAAAGGGCGUGUAGGCGGGAGCGCAAGUCAGAUGUGAAAACUCAGGGCUCAACCCUGAGCCUGCAUUUGAAACUGUGUUUCUUGAGUGCUGGAGAGGCAAUCGGAAUUCCGUGUGUAGCGGUGAAAUGCGUAGAUAUACGGAGGAACACCAGUGGCGAAGGCGGAUUGCUGGACAGUAACUGACGCUGAGGCGCGAAAGCGUGGGGAGCAAACAGGAUUAGAUACCCUUGUAGUC